This is a long non-coding RNA of Homo sapiens (human), 1214 nucleotides long. RefSeq annotates it as long independently transcribed non-coding RNA 2569. NCBI's taxonomy places the organism in Eukaryota, Metazoa, Chordata, Mammalia, Primates, Hominidae. The transcript is spliced from 2 exons. The record is from RefSeq and is marked validated.
AGAACGACCGAGUUUCUCUCAGCCGAGAACUGUGGCUGCCCCUCCGGUGAAAACAGAGGAAGUGGGAGCGGCAGGAAGCGCUUUGGGACCAGGGCGACCCCUGAAGCGUAGAGGAACCAGGUCACAAGCAUACGUGAAUGCUCACAUUCCAUAGUUAUCAAAUGUAUUCAGGUUUAAAUUUUACUUUUCUAGAAAAAAUGUAAAUAAUCCGUUGAGAAUAUUUAAUGAAAAAUGUUGGUCGUAUCUUUAUCUGGUCUGCGGCUCUGUCCCUGUUUCCUGGAUAGGAGACUACGUCUGUAUCUUGUAUCACAGGAGGCACCUUCUUCCUGUUUCCUGGCACAGACUUUAAAUCUUAGUGCUCCUCACUCUUUGCGUCUACGCUGCUUUUAUGAACUGUUAACACUCACUGUGAAGGUCUGCAGCUUCACUCCUUAAGCCAGCGAGACCACAAACCCACUGGGAGGGAUAAACAACUCCAGACGGGAGGAACAAACAACUUCGGGUGCACCACCUUUAUGAACUGUAGCACUCACUGUGAAGGUCUGCAGCUUCACUCCUGAGGCCAGCAAGACCACGAACCCACCAGAAGGAACGAACAACUCCAGAUAUGCCACCUUUAAGGGCUAUAACACUCACCGCGGAAGUCUGCAGCUUCACUCCUGAAGUCAGUGAGACCAUGAACCCACCAGAAGGAAGAAACUCUGGACACAUCUGAACAUCUGAAGGAACAAACUCUGGACACACCAUCUUUAAGAACUGUAACACUCACCGCGAGGGUACACGGCUUCAUUCUUGAAGUCAGCGAGACUAAGAACCCAACAAUUCCGGACACAGCAUGAUCUUGGUUCACUACAACCUGGAUCUCCCAGAGUCAAGCAAUCCUCUCGUCUCAGUCUCCCAAGUAGCUGGAACUACAGGUGUGUGCCACCAUGCCCCACUAAUUUUUGUAUUUAUUGUAGAGACGGUUUCAGCAUGUUGCCCAGGCUGGUCUCCAACUCCUGGACUCAAGUGAUCCUCUCCACCUAGGCCUCCCACAGUGCUGGGAUUACAGGAAUGAGCCACCACGCCCGGCCUAAUUGGAAGUUUUAGAGUGCAGUGGGGAUCACGUGCGUAGAGGUUACUGCUGCCUUAAUUAAAGGAGACAACAUGUUUCAUAAAACUUGGAAAUUGUAGAGGGUGUGGGGAACCACUCAAAUUCAGAAUAUCAAAACAGA